RNAcentral lists this ribosomal RNA (301 nucleotides) under uncultured bacterium. Its description in RNAcentral is "partial 16S ribosomal RNA". It matches the Rfam family "Bacterial small subunit ribosomal RNA", at positions 509 to 807 of the family's 1533-position model. The record is from RNAcentral.
CAGUCGCCACGGGAAUACAGAGGGUGCAAGCGUUAAUCGGAAUUACUGGGCGUAAAGCGCGCGUAGGUGGUUUGUUAAGUUGGAUGUGAAAUCCCCGGGCUCAACCUGGGAACUGCAUCCAAAACUGGCAAGCUAGAGUAUGGUAGAGGGUGGUGGAAUUUCCUGUGUAGCGGUGAAAUGCGUAGAUAUCGGAAGGAACACCAGUGGCGAAGGCGACCACCUGGACUGAUACUGACACUGAGGUGCGAAAGCGUGGGGAGCAAACAGGAUUAGAUACCCCUGUAGUCCCUGUCUCUUAUAC